This 462-nucleotide ribosomal RNA is filed under the name uncultured Vibrio sp. RNAcentral describes it as "bacterial SSU rRNA". It matches the Rfam family "Bacterial small subunit ribosomal RNA", at positions 56 to 497 of the family's 1533-position model. Lineage: Bacteria; Pseudomonadati; Pseudomonadota; Gammaproteobacteria; Vibrionales; Vibrionaceae. The record is from RNAcentral.
UGCAAGUCGAGCGGAAACGACUUAACUGAACCUUCGGGGAACGUUAAGGGCGUCGAGCGGCGGACGGGUGAGUAAUGCCUGGGAAAUUGCCCUGAUGUGGGGGAUAACCAUUGGAAACGAUGGCUAAUACCGCAUAAUAGCUUCGGCUCAAAGAGGGGGACCUUCGGGCCUCUCGCGUCAGGAUAUGCCCAGGUGGGAUUAGCUAGUUGGUGAGGUAAGGGCUCACCAAGGCGACGAUCCCUAGCUGGUCUGAGAGGAUGAUCAGCCACACUGGAACUGAGACACGGUCCAGACUCCUACGGGAGGCAGCAGUGGGGAAUAUUGCACAAUGGGCGCAAGCCUGAUGCAGCCAUGCCGCGUGUAUGAAGAAGGCCUUCGGGUUGUAAAGUACUUUCAGCAGUGAGGAAGGUUCAUACGUUAAUAGCGUAUGGAUUUGACGUUAGCUGCAGAAGAAGCACCGGC